GAUGAACGCUGGCGGCGUGCUUAACACAUGCAAGUCGAACGAAGCACUCUAUUUGAUUUUCUUCGGAAAUGAAGAUUUUGUGACUGAGUGGCGGACGGGUGAGUAACGCGUGGGUAACCUGCCUCAUACAGGGGGAUAACAGUUGGAAACGACUGCUAAUACCGCAUAAGCGCACGGUAUCGCAUGGUACAGUGUGAAAAACUCCGGUGGUAUGAGAUGGACCCGCGUCUGAUUAGCUAGUUGGUGGGGCAACGGCCUACCAAGGCGACGAUCAGUAGCCGAGAUGAGAGGGUGACCGGCCACAUUGGGACUGAGACACGGCCCAAACACGUACGGGAGGCAGCAGUGGGGAAUAUUGCACAAUGGGGGAAACCCUGAUGCAGCGACGCCGCGUGAACGAAGAAGUAUUUCGGUAUGUAAAGUUCUAUCAGCAGGGAAGAUAAUGACGGUACCUGACUAAGAAGCACCGGCUAAAUACGUGCCAGCAGCCGCCGUAA
This 497-nucleotide ribosomal RNA is filed under the name uncultured bacterium. Its description in RNAcentral is "partial 16S ribosomal RNA". It matches the Rfam family "Bacterial small subunit ribosomal RNA", at positions 28 to 523 of the family's 1533-position model. The record is from RNAcentral.